RNAcentral lists this ribosomal RNA (698 nucleotides) under uncultured bacterium. Its description in RNAcentral is "bacterial SSU rRNA". It matches the Rfam family "Bacterial small subunit ribosomal RNA", at positions 9 to 709 of the family's 1533-position model. The record is from RNAcentral.
GAGUUUGAUCAUGGCUCAGGAUGAACGCUAGCGGCAGGCUUAACACAUGCAAGUCGAGGGGUAUAGUUCUUCGGAAUUAGAGACCGGCGCACGGGUGCGUAACGCGUAUGCAAUCUACCUUUCACAGAGGGAUAGCCCAGAGAAAUUUGGAUUAAUACCUCAUAGUAUAACGACUCUGCAUGGAGAUGUUAUUAAAGUCACAACGGUGAAAGAUGAGCAUGCGUCCCAUUAGCUAGUUGGUAAGGUAACGGCUUACCAAGGCUACGAUGGGUAGGGGUCCUGAGAGGGAGAUCCCCCACACUGGUACUGAGACACGGACCAGACUCCUACGGGAGGCAGCAGCGAGGAAUAUUGGACAAUGGGCGCAAGCCUGAUCCAGCCAUGCCGCGUGCAGGAUGACGGUCCUAUGGAUUGUAAACUGCUUUUGCACAGGAAGAAACAACGCUACGUGUAGCGUCUUGACGGUACUGUGAGAAUAAGGAUCGGCUAACUCCGUGCCAGCAGCCGCGGUAAUACGGAGGAUCCAAGCGUUAUCCGGAAUCAUUGGGUUUAAAGGGUCCGUAGGCGGUUUAGUAAGUCAGUGGUGAAAGCCCAUCGCUCAACGGUGGAACGGCCAUUGAUACUGCUAGACUUGAAUUAUUAGGAAGUAACUAGAAUAUGUAGUGUAGCGGUGAAAUGCUUAGAGAUACAUGGAAUAC